Molecule: small RNA, 73 nt
Filed under: Klebsiella sp. RIT-PI-d
Lineage: Bacteria; Pseudomonadati; Pseudomonadota; Gammaproteobacteria; Enterobacterales; Enterobacteriaceae
Description: MicA sRNA
Rfam family: MicA sRNA
Source: Rfam by way of RNAcentral
GAAAGACGCGCAUUUGUUAUCAUCAUCCCUGUAUUCAGAGAUGUGCAUUUUGGCCACAGUGAUGUGGCCUUUU